AGUAAAGUCAGCUAAUUAAGCUUUUGGGCCCAUACCCCAAAUAUGAUGGUUAAACCCCCUCCUCUACUA
RNAcentral lists this transfer RNA (69 nucleotides) under Spinachia spinachia (sea stickleback). RNAcentral's name for it is "tRNA-Met". It matches the Rfam family "tRNA". Rfam says of the family: Transfer RNA (tRNA) molecules are approximately 80 nucleotides in length. Lineage: Eukaryota; Metazoa; Chordata; Actinopteri; Perciformes; Gasterosteidae. The record is from RNAcentral.